UAGUGAGUUUGAUCCUGGCUCAGGACGAACGCUGGCGGCGUGCCUAAUACAUGCAAGUCGAGCGGAAAGGCCACUUCGGUGGUACUCGAGCGGCGAACGGGUGAGUAACACGUGAGUAAUCUGCCCUUGGAUUCGGGAUAGCCACCGGAAACGGUGAUUAAUACCGGAUAUGACCACUUCUCGCAUGGGGUGUGGUGGAAAGUUUUUCGGCCAGGGAUGUGCUCGCGGCCUAUCAGCUUGAUGGUGAGGUAAUGGCUCACCAUGGCUUCGACGGGUAGCCGGCCUGAGAGGGUGACCGGUCACACUGGGGACUGAGACACGGCCCAGACUCCUACGGGAGGCAGCAGUGGGGAAUAUUGGAC
This 362-nucleotide ribosomal RNA is filed under the name uncultured Nocardioidaceae bacterium. RNAcentral's name for it is "bacterial SSU rRNA". It matches the Rfam family "Bacterial small subunit ribosomal RNA", at positions 1 to 369 of the family's 1533-position model. Lineage: Bacteria; Bacillati; Actinomycetota; Actinomycetes; Propionibacteriales; Nocardioidaceae. The record is from RNAcentral.